UACGGAGGGGGGUUAGCGUUGUUCGGAAUUACUGGGCGUAAAGCGCACGUAGGCGGAUCAGAAAAGUUGGGGGGGUGAAAUCCCCGGGGGCUCAACCCCCGGAACUGCCUCCAAAAACUCCUGGUCUUGAGUUCGAGAGAGGUGAGUGGAAUUCCGAGUGUAGAGGUGAAAAUUCGUAGAUAUUCGGAGGAACACCAGUGGCGAAGGCGGCUCACUGGCUCGAUACUGACGCUGAGGUGCGAAAAGUGUGGGGGAGCAAAACAGGAUUAGAUACCCCGGGGUAGUCC
Molecule: ribosomal RNA, 287 nt
Filed under: uncultured bacterium
Lineage: Bacteria
Description: partial 16S ribosomal RNA
Rfam family: Bacterial small subunit ribosomal RNA
Source: RNAcentral